CCAAUAGCGUAUAUUAAAGUUGUUGCAGUUAAAAAGCUCGUAGUUGAAUUUCGGAAUCAAUAUAUCGGUCGUGCCUUGGUACGUACUGGUAUCAUUGGUUUCUCCUUUCUGACGAACCAUGAUGUCAUUAAUUUGGUGUUAUGGGAAGUUAGGACUGUUACUUUGAAAAAAUUAGAGUGUUUAAAGCAGGCUUUAGCUUG
This 200-nucleotide ribosomal RNA is filed under the name uncultured Glomus. Its description in RNAcentral is "partial small subunit ribosomal RNA". It matches the Rfam family "Eukaryotic small subunit ribosomal RNA", at positions 591 to 797 of the family's 1831-position model. The record is from RNAcentral. Lineage: Eukaryota; Fungi; Glomeromycota; Glomeromycetes; Glomerales; Glomeraceae.